GAUGAACGCUGGCGGCGUGCCUAACACAUGCAGGUCGAACGAAGCAUCUUACCUGAUUCUUCGGAUGAAAGUUUGGUGACUGAGUGGCGGACGGGUGAGUAACGCGUGGGUAACCUGCCCUGUACAGGGGGAUAACAGCUGGAAACGGCUGCUAAUACCGCAUAAGCGCACGAGGAGACAUCUCCUUGUGUGAAAAACUCCGGUGGUACAGGAUGGGCCCGCGUCUGAUUAGCUGGUUGGCAGGGUAACGGCCUACCAAGGCAACGAUCAGUAGCCGGUCUGAGAGGAUGAACGGCCACAUUGGAACUGAGACACGGUCCAAACUCCUACGGGAGGCAGCAGUGGGGAAUAUUGCACAAUGGGGGAAACCCUGAUGCAGCAACGCCGCGUGAGUGAAGAAGUAUUUCGGUAUGUAAAGCUCUAUCAGCAGGGAAGAUAAUGACGGUACCUGACUAAGAAGCUCCGGCUAAAUACGUGCCAGCAGCCGCGGUAAUACGUAUGGAGCAAGCGUUAUCCGGAUUUACUGGGUGUAAAGGGUGCGUAGGUGGCAGUGCAAGUCAGAUGUGAAAGGCCGGGGCUCAACCCCGGAGCUGCAUUUGAAACUGCUCGGCUAGAGUACAGGAGAGGCAGGCGGAAUUCCUAGUGUAGCGGUGAAAUGCGUAGAUAUUAGGAGGAACACCAGUGGCGAAGGCGGCCUGCUGGACUGUUACUGACACUGAGGCACGAAAGCGUGGGGAGCAAACAGGAUUAGAUACCCUGGUAGUCCACGCCGUAAACGA
Molecule: ribosomal RNA, 779 nt
Filed under: uncultured bacterium
Lineage: Bacteria
Description: bacterial SSU rRNA
Rfam family: Bacterial small subunit ribosomal RNA
Source: RNAcentral